This 395-nucleotide ribosomal RNA is filed under the name uncultured bacterium. RNAcentral describes it as "partial 16S ribosomal RNA". It matches the Rfam family "Bacterial small subunit ribosomal RNA", at positions 523 to 918 of the family's 1533-position model. The record is from RNAcentral.
AUACGUAGGGUGCAAGCGUUAAUCGGAAUUACUGGGCGUAAAGCGUGCGCAGGCGGUUUUGUAAGACAGAGGUGAAAUCCCCGGGCUCAACCUGGGAACUGCCAUUGUGACUGCAAGGCUGGAGGGCGGCAGAGGGGGAUGGAAUUCCGCGGGUAGCAGUGAAAUGCGUAGAUAUGCGGAGGAACACCGAUGGCGAAGGCAAUCCCCUGGGCCUGCACUGACGCUCAUGCACGAAAGCGUGGGGAGCAAACAGGAUUAGAUACCCUGGUAGUCCACGCCCUAAACGAUGUCAACUGGUUGUUGGGGAUUUAUUUUCUCAGUAACGAAGCUAACGCGUGAAGUUGACCGCCUGGGGAGUACGGCCGCAAGGUUAAAACUCAAAGGAAUUGACGGGG